GCGCUGGCGGUGUCAACAUUACAGGAUUUUAAUUGACUUUCGGAGAUGAGUUGGCGUAUACAAAGGAACCACCAAAUGCUAUCAAGAACUCAUCAGCCCAGACGUUUUGUCCAUGACUGUACAGUGGCAUGAUGAAUUCAUGACAUGGCUAAAGGUCAGCCUCCAGCCAAACAACAACUGAUGGACUGAAACAGCAGCCUAGCCAUCCCCUGUUAGAGACCAAUGAAUUCUGAGUCUUCACUUUACUUCUCCACACCACAGAGAUGUGGACUGGACAACCUUGUUAGGUGACAGAGGAUUCUACUGGCCUUCAAUCAGACCACCUGUCAGUGUGCAUGCUGCUGUUUUCCUGAGGCUGUGUACAUUCAAGCUGUCACAUAAGUUUUUUUUACAGAGGCGGAAUGCAGAGUUAGGACUAUGACGGACGCCUGUGGGCAUUCAAUCACAGAAGAUGAGGUUUCCCAGCACAGCCAGCUCAGCAAGGCCCAUGUCAGUCACAUAGCUAAUGACCGUUUCAGUGACGGCUUCCUAUCAACGUAAUAAGAAGCACCUGUUAGCGGUGGAGCCCAAACUUGGAAAUGGGUGUAAUCAACCCCGGGGGACUGAUUGAAUCCUUCCUUCUGACGGUGGAGACGCGCUUCAGCGCAGGGCCACUGGAAAAGGAUCUUCCCGGAUUACUCGAGGACGGACACGCCGGAUGAGCCUUAUUGCAUGCCGACUGUAAACGUGACGCAAGGGAAGCCUGCGGAAGUCUCCGUGGAUGGCUCCUGGUCGAUUAAGGCCAUUGUGUGAUUUCAUGUCUUCCUAAGCACAAUGAGCAAUGAGAUUAGGUUCAAUUUGGACCUGCACUUGGAUUUCCCCACCUCCGUCAAGGCCCGAGCCCCCGCCAUGUCAGCCUGGGCCCACUGGGAAAUCAGUGAUCUCCAGACAGGUCACCGCUGGCCCAUGUAUAUAUUCAUGGGCUUAAUCUCGCAUCAUUUCUAUGGCAUGAGGAAAAGAAAUGCAUUCAAUUUACACUCUCUCCAUUCGCCUCAUACAGUACACACAGGGGAGGCAUCCAUAUGUGUGUCUAACAUGCUAAGGAUUCAUUCGGUUAGCGCAAAACGUUUUGCAAGGCAGAAUCCAAUUCGUGAAAUUCAGCCUGUAUGCUUUAACUCAGAGCGGAGCCUCAGUGGGAGACUGCUGGUUGGAGUGGAAGGCUUCAAGUUGUCUCCGGCAGAUGCUGAGUGUGUAUUAAACAGAUUAAUUAUUAAAACAUGCUUGACAGAUGAAAAGUGGGACCUCGGGCUAAAGAGAGAAUGUUUAUUCUUCUGCCAUAUACUGUAGUCAUUUGGCUACCGUUCACAAGUUAUUGGGCACCUUGUUGAGGAUUUGAGGGCUCGGUGUCAUAUGUGCGACGCACAAACUGUUUGGGGUUGUCCAGACCGGCACAGCUCUGAUGGAAAGUAUGAGGCCCUUUAUGGACCUGAUUUACUGAUUCAAAGUGUCUGUCUGUGGGUAUUGCAUCUUGACGUGGUGACGGGAUACUACAGCAAUAUAUAGAUUGUUUAAAUUAUUUCCACUAUAAAUCUGUUAAUGAUUUACAUUUAUGCAUUUAGUAGAUGCUUUUAUGUGACAUACUUUGCAUUUUACAUUGCACAUGCAUUUUACCUCUUAUAUUUACUUAUAUGCAUUUUUUUUAAUCUAGCCAAAAUAUCUAUAAGAAGAUAUUGUAAAGAAUGAUGAAGAGCAGUUUAUGUCCAUGGAUGGAUAGAUAAAGACAUUUUUCAUUUAAUAACAUCUUUUGUGUUCCAGAGCUGAAAAAGGUAUACAGAUUUCGAGUAAAAGAUGAGAAAAUGUUCUCUUUUUGAUGAAUUCCCUUUAAGAUGGAAGAGUGUAGUUUUGGAAUGAAAUAUGUUUUUGUUGCUGCUGAUCUGCCACACUACUGCAGGAAAAUAAGCGGGAACCGGAGGGAAAACAACCUCUUUUGUUGGUCUUCAUGAUAAAUUUUGCAUGCAUAUUAACCAGCAGGGAUGGCUGCCAACGUGCUAAACAGUGGUGAUUGCGAUUUCUGUUUUAUAGAGAAAAAGGGGAGAUGUGUUGCAAGUGGCUCUCUCUGUUGUGUUUCAAGGCCAAACCGAGCUGCAUCUGGCAGCGGGUCUGAAUGCCACCUGCUCCAACAAGUCCCUGAGCCUUUCCUCCAAAACAUGUGACCAUGCAAAUUGGGAACAAAUUAUUCUGUCCGAGAACGGAGCAUUUGCUGCAGCAAAAAACGAUCAAGAAAGGGCCCUUCUCCCAUUAGACAGCGAAGACAUGCGGUGGCAGCCACCGGUUACCUGGCCUCCCUGUUGACAGGGCUGUUGCUGAUAGCCCCCAGCCCCCCUGGACCCUAGGGAAUGGGCCUCAGAUGCAGAUGAUCACUAUUAGGAGCCGGACAGGCCUCCCCUCAGAGCGAUUAGCAUUCCCCUGGCGUGACCUACAGGUGUAGCCCAGAUUAAGUGAAUAAAUUCAUCGCCCUGAGGAUCACUGGGCCUGACCCCUGCUGCUGGCGCCUGAAUUAGAAUGUGUUUGGAGCUCGCGGGCACGGAGAUGAUUGCAAGCUAAACAUGGACGGCGACAAAAAGAGGGGGAAGGAAUGAUGUCAAUGGCGAAGGUUUAUUUGCAAAACAAACUAACUGUUCUAUUAGAUUUCUCACCCAUCCAAGUAAGAAUUGACUACAUCUUUUAUUUUGCCAGUGCGUUUGAGUCUGCAUAGGGAAGGGGGGGUUUCGAGUAAUUCAGGCUCAUGUUUUGUUUCCUGUAAUUUAAUCUGAAACUAGCUUGUUUUUCUUUCCCCAUCGGACUUGCCUGUUCUGUUGACAUUUUUCCUGUUAUUUGUAUACUGCAAAGUGGUCCAUUUUUCCCCCAUCAAAACCGCUUUUCUCAGUAUGUGUCAGGAUGUCUUUUGAAUUUACCUUCAGCUCCUGACAGACUUUAGAACGGGGCGCGUGUACACAGACGAGGGGAAGAUUCCUUUGUGCCCUGAGCAUUUUCGUGAAGGCAGAGCCUGGCUCAAAGGCUGUCAACACAAACACUGCUGGUUUGCUCUCAGUUGCACUCCCUGUAAAGGUUGAGCAGUUGAAACACACAUGGGUUAACACCAUGCUCAUUAUGUACUUUUUCAUCUCAGUGUUUACCUUAUUGAAAGGAAAAUAGCCAAGGAAAAGAAACCAUCACUGUGUUCCCAAAGCAGUGGUAUAGGGUUGAUGUGUAUCACAAUACAGCAGUUCAUGGUUUAUGAAAGAUUUCAAUAGCACAGCAAAUAACUAAUAUGCUAACAAUGUUCUAUAUAAUUAAUAUAUAAUACCAAAAAAGGCUUCAUUAAUCAAACAGUCCUAAAGAAAAAUGUCACUGUUUCCACAAAUGUAUUAAUAAAUAUUCAACAAUUUAUUAUUAAUUCUGAAGGAUAAUUUGGCACUGAAGCCUGGAUUAAUGGCUCCAAUAAACUGUAAUAAUAUUUCACAAUGAUUAUUACUGUAUUUUUGAUAGACUAAAUGCAGUCAAACAUAAGAGACGACAUAUAAGAUAUUAAACCAUCUUACUGACCCCAAACUUUUGAACCACAUUUCUCACAAUAUACACUAAUUUUCCUCUUGCUCUCAGAUAUUAGACAAUCCACAUUCUGGCUCUCAACAUGCAAUGUUGCCUUAAUAGAGACCAGAACUGACCUUAGCUAUUUACCAAAAGACUUGGCCUGAAUCUUCAUAGCAAUUUGCCAGGGCAUACUUUUAUUUCUGUGGUCUGUUGAAUGCUGUCACUAUCAAUUACAGUACCCCUGUAUUCAUUACACCAAUAAUGAACCCAUUUAUAUAAUCUUUUUCCUGCAGUGAUUCAUACUCUUACAUGGACAAAGUGAUUGUUAGUGGAAAAAAUUGUGUUAGGAACCCAUAUAUCCCAAGUCCAGGAUUGCCAUAGGGGUCGGUUGAUGGAACGAACAUGGGAAAGAGAUAUUUAACUCAACAGGUAUCACUGUGAGUAUGGCAUACUUUUUUUUACCAGUUUGCACUUAUUUAUAAUGGCAGAACUGACUCUUACUACUCUUUUGCAUAGAAGACAGUGAUUGCUUUGCAUCUCAAAGACAUCAAACCACUAACCAUCUCUGGCACCCCAUAGACAGUCUGUGUUUGCGGUUGUUGUUUUUAACGUGUGAGUUGAUAUCUGUGUGCUCUAUGCAGAGCAGAUGCAGUGGAGGGAGAGAUCUUUCAAACCGCAGCUAUGCUCUCGUUGUCUUGCAUCAUGUAACUGCAUAUUUUGGUGGAGGCCCUCGUAAGAGCAGCUAUAAAUGAGGGUUAAAUGCUGAGUUCACCCCGAUCUCCUCUGCACUUUCUCUGGACACCACAUGGUGACCACAAUUGCAAACUGUGUUGUGAAGUCUAUGAAAGGAAGUGGGUUAUAUUUUGUUCUGUUUUCUUCCUGAACUGUCAUAUUUUAUAAUUCAAAAGCCAGAGAGAUAUCUUUGGCCAGAAGGGUUCCAAUUCAUGAGUUGAAAUUUGAAUUGAAUUGGCUCUGCCCCACAGGAAGUUGAAAAAGUUGAUAGGAAGAGAAAUUUGAGUUGUAAUUCAGAGACAUUCACCACAGGCAAUGCAUACUGGGAAGUUAAGUGUUCUUCCAUCCCGGUCCACAACAGUUAAUCUAUGAAAUGUGUUUUCAUCCAAUUUAAAUAAAUGUUUAAAUCAUUCCUUUCAUCCCAUAAGUAAAUACUUGCUUUUAUUGUUGUGAUUAUGAUUAUUUUAAUUCCUGUUAUGUAAAGUGGUUUGAAGUACCAUUGUGUAUGAAAUGUGCUAUAUAAAUAAA
Long non-coding RNA from Carassius gibelio (silver crucian carp), 4812 nucleotides. RefSeq lists it as uncharacterized. The transcript is spliced from 6 exons. The record is from RefSeq and is a predicted model, not a curated record. Lineage: Eukaryota; Metazoa; Chordata; Actinopteri; Cypriniformes; Cyprinidae.